AUGGAGAUUAGCAUCAAAGGUAAAGAGAGGGUGGAUGGCUUAAAUUUUACUAAUGAUAUGCGAAAGAAUCUUGUGACUUGGCAGGCUCCCGCUACGGAGAUCAUUAAGAUUAAUGUUGAUGCAAGUUAUGUGGAGGCUUUAAGGGCUGCAAGUGUGGGCGUCGUGGCCAGGAACCAUACUGGAGAAGUUAUCAUAUCGUCAUGGGAUUAUAUUGGGGUGUGCAAUAGCGCGGAAGAAGCGGAACUGAGAGCGACCCUUGCGGGGCUAUACAUUGGUAUUACUCUCCACAAGGCCAUCAUUUUAGAAACGGAUUAUUCUUUUGUGGCUUCUUUCCUUCGAAAUGAUCUUCUAGGCAGGUCUCCUCUGGUGGAUCUAAAGAUAGAAGCUUUGAGUUUAGCCAAAAUGAUGAUAAAUUGCAAGAUAUCAAAAAUUAAAAGAACGGCUAAUAGGGUGGCGCACGAGAUUGCGAAGUUCAGCUUUGAUAAUAGGUCCGAUGGUGUGCUCCUUAAUAGUGUUCUGCCCUACGUGGCUGAUUUUGUAACGGAUGAUUGUAUGAAUAUUUUAAGUUAA
Molecule: ribosomal RNA, 570 nt
Filed under: Triticum aestivum (bread wheat)
Lineage: Eukaryota; Viridiplantae; Streptophyta; Magnoliopsida; Poales; Poaceae
Description: partial small subunit ribosomal RNA
Source: RNAcentral